UGAAAUCCUAACCUACCAUCCUUCUUUUGGGUCUCUCUGCCCUUCCCACGCUCAGGUGAAAGCCCCACUCAUGCACCCCAUCAGCACAACAGCCCUCAGUCUUACUCCCAAAGAGCCCUUUUAGCAUAGAAAUCCUGCAGAGAUCCCACUCUAGGUGGUCCCUUCCAUUUGGGCCUCAAGAUGGACCGGCCCAGCCUAGAAAAAGGAUCGCCUGGACUCCUUACGACCUGAUUUUCAUACUUGUAACAGCCCCAGGAGAGGUGGAGGUUGGACCCGGAAAGGACUUCUUUUUGCCCAGAGAUGAGGCAAUGGCCUCCCAGCGGUUACCAGGAGGGGGCGCGACAGGCCAGCCCACGGGUCGUGUGAUCUGAGGACCCAGCCAGGUCGCGGAGGAGCGAGGGAGGGUCUAGCCGGCGCUGGGAGCCAGAGGGUGCCGGGCAGCUGGGAGAGCUGUUGGAGGAGCCAGGACCACCUGGGCGGAGGCUGCACACCCGCGCGCCCGCCCCUACACGGGAAAGGGAGUGGCAUCGCGUUCCGCCUAGUCAUCGCCUGCAAAGACUCGCGUCACCUCUGAUGUCAGUGCUUCAAGGGGCUUCUUUCCAGCUCCGGGCUCCAGGAAAGGGCGUCGCGGCGCCAGAGGUUACACAACUUCCCCAAUGUCGCGGUUAAGAGACGUGCAGGCCAGGGGGUUCGAACCCAGGUCUGUGGGCGCCUGCUGUGUGGGUCUAGUGCCUGCCAGCAUCGUCCGCAGGUGGCCUCGCUCCGCGCACCACCCUUGACGAAUCCCCUGCGGGAGCCAGACCAGCCUUGGCCUAGCUUCCUCCUUCCUUUCUCGUCUCUAAAAGGGUCUUUCGUGAACAAAGAGCUCCCUCCAAAUUCUCUUUAUGGAGAAGUAGCUUCUCAUCCAUUGAAGGAAUAACAUCUCUUGAUGCAAGGACAGCAGCGACAAGAUGGAAUGUCACCUGCUGAUAGAUUUGAUUCAAUAGAAUGAAUAUGGCUUCACUAAGGAGAGAACGUUGAAUUUUUUUUAAAUAUGUUAUUUAUUUAGAUAGAUUUCUUUUAAUUCAAGACAUAUACAUUCUAAUGGGACAAGUAUAAGAUGACAUACAGAUUAUCAUAAAAACUUCCCAAACCAUACACUUCAUUUUGCUGAUUCAAAAAUGUUUGAAUAACAGCUUUUCAGAAAGAAGGGUGCAUUAGAUGUACACAUCGAUUGUAAGACAGCACCAAUUAAAGUAAUAUCCAUUUUUUUAAAGUACACCUUAAAAUAGGGGAAAUGUGGAUUGCAUAUUUUACUAUAAUAUAUAUAUAUAUAUAUAUGGAUUUUUAUCAGUAGGGUCUAAUAUUUUUGUUGAAACUAUCUGAGAGCCCAAAGCAGGAACCUUUCCUCACUCUACUUGCAUACCACUGGUGACAGGGUGUUCACUACCUCUGAAUGUAAUCUUUUUCCUUGUGGGGAUGUUCUGGCAGUCAAAGUUGGUGCUCAGCCCCUUGUUAUCACCACAGGUCCUAGUUCAGCCCUUGGAGCCAGGCAAGGUUAUACUAUUGCUCCUACCUCUGCCCCUCUGAGUCUGUAUUCUCCAAGGUCAGUACCCCCAAGUCCUCACUAUUCCUUGCCCUCUACAAAUUGGACUCUGGUCUUUCCCUGUCCCCUCAAAAGUAUGGCAACCAGAACUGAAUGCAACCCUCCAGCAGUCACCUCCCUCAUCCCUAACCCUAUACCUCUAUAGAUGCAGCCUGAGAUCACAUUAGUUUGGGGCUGAAGUAAAAUGUGAUGAGAUCACAUUAGUUUGGAGCUAAUAAUGUGGCACAGAGAGGUCAAGCAAGUUGCCCAAGGAAGCAGGACUGGAAGGAGACAAAGUCAGGAUUCAAACUCUUAGCCCUUCCAGUGAACCCCAAGGGUUCAACGAGUUUUCCCAGGGGGUUCAUGUCUCUAAAUGUAGUACUACCAUCUGUUUCUACUUCUAUAUUUUAAUCAAUUAAUAAACACUAAUUUAUUAAUUUUUUUAAAGGGAACUGUUCGAAAGAUUCGGUGCUUAUCAAGCGGGGAUUCAAAAUUAUCAGACCUUUUAUUAAUCAACUGAACACUGCCAGCCCCUGGAAUGGUUUUGCAUAUGACACAGUUUUAAAUUAUUUUGAUUAUAAUAACAAAUGUAUAGUCUAUACUCAUAAUGCAUCAUGGGUUAAAAACACAAAUUCUAACCAAAAACUGGUGCUGAAAUACAAGUUAAGAUAGGAAAAAAAUUUUAAUGAAAAUAUUUCUGCAAAUUCCUCUUAUCUACACACUGCUUACAUCUGAUCACAGUCUCACACAUACUUGAUAAAUGCUGUUGGGACCACCAUGUAUCCACCAGGAUAAUUAAAUUUGAUCCCUACCUUACACCUAUGCCAAAAUUAAUUCCAAUAGAUACAAAAAAAACAAUACAUAAAAAAAUGAAACCAGGGCAGCUGGGUGGCUCAGUUGG
Long non-coding RNA from Hipposideros armiger (great roundleaf bat), 2465 nucleotides. RefSeq lists it as uncharacterized. Lineage: Eukaryota; Metazoa; Chordata; Mammalia; Chiroptera; Hipposideridae. The transcript has 3 exons. The record is from RefSeq and is a predicted model, not a curated record.